This 428-nucleotide ribosomal RNA is filed under the name uncultured bacterium. RNAcentral's name for it is "partial 16S ribosomal RNA". It matches the Rfam family "Bacterial small subunit ribosomal RNA", at positions 354 to 796 of the family's 1533-position model. The record is from RNAcentral.
GUGGGGAAUAUUGGGCAAUGGGCGGAAGCCUGACCCAGCGACGCCGCGUGGGGGAAGAAGUCUUUCGGGAUGUAAACCCUUGUUGUACGGGACGAAGGAAGUGACGGUACCGUACGAGGAAGCCCCGGCAAACUACGUGCCAGCAGCCGCGGUAAUACGUAGGGGGCGAGCGUUGUCCGGAAUCACUGGGCGUAAAGCGCACGUAGGCGGGCUGUCAAGUCGGCCGUGAAAGGCACGGGCUCAACCUGUGCAUGUCGGUCGAUACUGGCGGUCUGGAGUAUGGGAGAGGGAACUGGAAUUCCCGGUGGAGCGGUGAAAUGCGUAGAUAUCGGGAGGAACACCAGUGGCGAAGGCGGGUUCCUGGCCCAUGACUGACGCUGAGGUGCGAAAGCCGGGGGAGCGAACGGGAUUAGAAACCCGUGUAGUCC